GGGACUCGCCAGCGAGGGAUGCCGCCGGCCGCCGGGGGCCUUCUCCAGGACCAGGAGAGAAAUCCUCUCUCCGCUUCACGACGCGGCCACUCCCACCCCUGAGACGCCCACCUGGCGGACUCUGAGGGAGGAUUCGGCUGCGUCUAAUACCACCUCCACCCCUCAUCCCUCACAAUGCGCGGAAAACCACAGGCGGCUGUGCGCGCAGCGUCGGCUCAGCCACCGCAGCUCCUCCCCUGGGAUGAAAAAGCACUCUGACGUCUUGAAAGCUGGCAGCUCUCUGUUUGGAAAAUCUCUGCCCAGUGAAAAAAUGUACCGACAAGAUUACUAAGUAACACAGUCUUCUGGGAAUGCCUUAUCAAUGCCAGCUAUUUGAAGAGCACCCAAAGUCAAACUAGUGCUCCGCGCUGGCAGUCUGGAAAAGGCAGAUAAACCAAAAAGGAUGGAGUUCAGAGACCUUCCAUGUUGAUGAACAAGAACACAUUCACCUGCUGUAGGGGUAGGUGUACCCCAAAACUCCACUGAUACAGAAGCUUCUAUACUCAAGACCCUUCUAUACUCAAGACCCUGGAUCUUACCCUAUAUAUCUCUUCAUCUGGCUAUUUAUUUGCAUCUUUUAAUAUAUCCUUUGUAAUAAACUAGUAAUCUAGAAAGCAAACUUUUCCUAGCUCUGUAGGCCAUUCUAGUAAAUGAUUAAACCUGAGGAGGAGUUAUGGGAACCUUUGAUUUGUAGACAAGUUGGACAAAAGUGGUAUAUAUCCUAAUAUAACAUGGGAACCUGCCACUUAUGAUUGGCGUGUGAAAUUGGGGGAUGGGGAAGCAGUCUUGUGGGACUGAGCCCUUAGCCUGUGGGGUCUAAUGCUAUCUUCAGGUAAUAUCAGAACUGAGUUAAAUUAUAGGAUACCAGUCAGUGUCCAUUGGAGAACUGAAUUAUUGUGAGGAGAAACCCACACAUUUGGUGGCUAAAAGUAUUGAUGUGAGUAGUAGCAUAUAGGAGUUUUUUGCUAUAUACAUAUGUAGUGUAAGUUUAAAGUAAAAAGUUUUGUAUUGUCAGGAGUGACUUCUUUGCACCUAAAUAUCACUGCUAUAACUGCGUUACUAAGGAAUAGUUGCUUGCUUUUAUGUAUUUGGCACCUGCAGCUACUGUUCUAAAAAGUUUGCAUGUGUUAACCUAUUAAUUAAAUCUACAAAUGACUGGCUGUACCCAUGAAGUGAGUUAUUCUAAAGACAAUGGAACAUUUAAAUGGUUUAGAAAUUUUUUGAUUAAAAAUACAUUAAUAAUAUCUCCUAAAGAA
RNAcentral lists this long non-coding RNA (1295 nucleotides) under Homo sapiens (human). RNAcentral's name for it is "HSALNT0293697". The record is from RNAcentral. Lineage: Eukaryota; Metazoa; Chordata; Mammalia; Primates; Hominidae.